RNAcentral lists this ribosomal RNA (253 nucleotides) under uncultured bacterium. RNAcentral's name for it is "partial 16S ribosomal RNA". It matches the Rfam family "Bacterial small subunit ribosomal RNA", at positions 524 to 776 of the family's 1533-position model. The record is from RNAcentral.
UACAGAGGGUGCAAGCGUUAAUCGGAUUUACUGGGCGUAAAGCGCGCGUAGGCGGCUUUGCAAGUCGGGUGUGAAAUCCCCAGGCUUAACCUGGGAACUGCAUUCGAGACUGCGUUGCUAGAGUAUGGGAGAGGGAAGUGGAAUUCCCGGUGUAGCGGUGAAAUGCGCAGAUAUCGGGAAGAACACCCGUGGCGAAGGCGGCUCUCUGGGACGGUACUGACGCUGAGACGCGAAAGCGUGGGGAGCGAACAGG